Molecule: ribosomal RNA, 415 nt
Filed under: uncultured Sphingorhabdus sp.
Lineage: Bacteria; Pseudomonadati; Pseudomonadota; Alphaproteobacteria; Sphingomonadales; Sphingorhabdaceae
Description: bacterial SSU rRNA
Rfam family: Bacterial small subunit ribosomal RNA
Source: RNAcentral
GGAAUAUUGGACAAUGGGCGAAAGCCUGAUCCAGCAAUGCCGCGUGAGUGACGAAGGCCUUAGGGCUGUAAAGCUCUUUUACCAGGGAUGAUAAUGACAGUACCUGGAGAAUAAGCUCCGGCUAACUCCGUGCCAGCAGCCGCGGUAAUACGGAGGGAGCUAGCGUUGUUCGGAAUUACUGGGCGUAAAGAGUACGUAGGCGGUGAUUCAAGUCAGAGGUGAAAGCCUGGAGCUCAACUCCAGAACUGCCUUUGAAACUAGAUCGCUAGAAUUAUGGAGAGGUUAGUGGAAUUCCGAGUGUAGAGGUGAAAUUCGUAGAUAUUCGGAAGAACACCAGUGGCGAAGGCGACUAACUGGACAUAUAUUGACGCUGAGGUACGAAAGCUAGGGGAGCGAGUGGGAUUAGAUACCCGAG